CGUAAUAACAGAAACUAACCAGGAUUCCCUUAGUAACGGCGAGUGAACUGGGAUACCAAUAUAUUUAUGCGUCUCUGGCGCAUAUUUUUAGCCCGUCGAUACUAUCCUAGCGUAUUACCGGUUUCGGCCGGUAGCCCAAUACGCGGGAAUUGUAGCAUCGUAAUAAAAUAUACACCAUGCCUGCGUCGCAAACGUAUAUACACGUAUACUCACACACACACACAUAUACUCUCGUACGCGUACACACCCCUUGCAAACACACAGCGCUCCCGCGUUGGAAAGCAAGUCUAUAUCCUCUUUGGAUAUGCCAUAGAGUGUGACAGCCACGUUUGAAACACCCUACGUACCGUACACACACAUAUAUAAAAAUACGCGCUGCUUCGCAUACGCAUACCGUAUAUAACCUGACUCGAGUUAUUU
This 420-nucleotide ribosomal RNA is filed under the name Ammonia aomoriensis. RNAcentral describes it as "partial large subunit ribosomal RNA". Lineage: Eukaryota; Foraminifera; Rotaliida; Rotaliidae. The record is from RNAcentral.